GAUGAACGCUGGCGGCGUGCCUAAUACAUGCAAGUCGAGCGGACGGACGAGAAGCUUGCUUCUCGGAUGUUAGCGGCGGACGGGUGAGUAACACGUGUAUAACCUACCUAUAAGACUGGUAUAACUUCGAGAAACCGUAGCUAAUACCGUAUGAUAUUUUGAACCGCAUUGUGCAAAAGUGAGAGACGGUCGUGCGGUCACGUAUAGAUGGAUCCGCGCUGCAUUAGCUAGUUGGUAAGGUAACGGCUUACCAAGGCAACGAUGCAUAGCCGACCUGAGAGAGUGAUCGGCCACACGGGAACUGAGACACGGUCAAGACUCCUGCGGGAGGCCGCAGUAGGGAAUCUUACGCAAUGGGCGAAAGCCUGACGGAGCAACGCCGCGUGAGUGAUGACGGUCUUCGGAUCGUAAAACUCUGUUAUUAGGGAAGAACAUAUGUGUAAGUAACUGUGGACAUCUUGACGGUACCUAAUCAGAAAGCCACGGCUAACUACGUG
Molecule: ribosomal RNA, 497 nt
Filed under: uncultured bacterium
Lineage: Bacteria
Description: partial 16S ribosomal RNA
Rfam family: Bacterial small subunit ribosomal RNA
Source: RNAcentral